This 494-nucleotide ribosomal RNA is filed under the name uncultured bacterium. RNAcentral's name for it is "bacterial SSU rRNA". It matches the Rfam family "Bacterial small subunit ribosomal RNA", at positions 30 to 514 of the family's 1533-position model. The record is from RNAcentral.
UGAACGCUGGCGGCAUGCCUUACACAUGCAAGUCGAACGGCAGCACGGGUGCUUGCACCUGGUGGCGAGUGGCGAACGGGUGAGUAAUACAUCGGAAUGUGCCUUGUAGUGGGGGAUAGCUCGGCGAAAGCCGGGCUAAUACCGCAUACGCUCUACGGAGGAAAACGGGGGAUCGUAAGACCUCGUGCUAAUGGAUGAGCCUACGUCGGAUUAGCUAGUUGGUAGGGUAACGGCCUACCAAGGCGACGAUCCGUAGCUGGUCUGAGAGGACGAUCAGCCACACUGGGACUGAGACACGGCCCAGACUCCUACGGGAGGCAGCAGUGGGGAAUAUUGGACAAUGGGGGCAACCCGUGAUCCAGCAAUGCCGCGUGUGUGAAGAAGGCCUGCGGGUUGUAAACGCACUUUCAGAGGGGUAAGAAAAAACUCGGAGCUAACACCUCCGAGCUUGACGUUACCCUUAGAAGAAGCACCGGCUAACUCCGUGCCAGCAG